Molecule: long non-coding RNA, 2256 nt
Filed under: Elaeis guineensis (African oil palm)
Lineage: Eukaryota; Viridiplantae; Streptophyta; Magnoliopsida; Arecales; Arecaceae
Description: long non-coding RNA (EGUI_LNC000938)
Source: RNAcentral
CCUGUAAAGUAUAAUAGGCUAUCAAAUACCAUCAAUGCUUUAUAUGAUAGUAUCAACUUCUAUGACCUCAUUAUAUAGUCAUCAUUUAAAUUCACAGACCCAAAACCAUACUUAAUAUUUUAAUAUUAAUAUCAUGAAUUACAAAAUCAACCAUUCAUCAUUAAAAGGUUAAAAUUUAAGAGACAAAGAAAAGGCCUUCCCCCUUGAUUUUGGAGGCAUCAAGGAAUUAUCUUGUUCAAAGAAUACACAUGUAAUAAAGCAAAAAACCUGGAAAAAAGGAGGAUUCGAUAAGCUAGGACAUAUCUAAGAAUGUAUAUGUACUCAGGUACACAAGUACAUCCAUAAAUAUAUAUACAUAUGUAUAAUAUAAAAGGGCGCCCGUAAAGUAUAAUAGGCUAUCAAAUACAGUCUAUGAUUUAUAUGAUAGUAUCAACUUUUACAACCUCAUUAUUUAGUCAUCAUUUAAAUCCAUAGACCCAAAAUCACACUUCAUAUUUUAAUAUUAAUAUCACAAACUACAAAUCAACCAUUCAUCUUUAAUAGGUUAAAAUUUAAGAGAGACCUUAAUUUUGCAGUCAUCAAGGAAUGAUCUUGAGUGUAUCUGGGAGAUAUCCAAAUUAUUUUGUUUUAAUUUUGCAAACUAAGAUAAUUUACACAAAUAUCAGACACAUCCAAGUAUCAAAUGAGUAUCAGUAUCUGAUACAUAUAUGACAUAGAACCCAGCAUGUGAUUUGAAGUAGCAAUGCUUCCAAGCAAGACAAAAUAGGCCACACUUAGUCGCUUCAUUUUGAAACAUCCUUUCGAUGCCAACAAAAAGUGCUAAAAACUGUUUCUGGAUAAGCAUCAAAACAAUUUCUUACAUACAUGAGUGCAUGCAUGGACGCAAUGCACAAACAUAGAUGCACAUGCAACACUGAGAGCAUUUGGCCCCGAAUGCUUCCCAAUGAAAAUGAUGGCCCUCUCAAAAUGAAAAUCCAUAGUUAAAUAUUGGUCAUGAUCCGUAUCAUCAAAAUUUUGGCUAGAAACAAAACAUCGCAUGCUUUUAAGGUCUUUUAACCAUGCACCAAAUGGAUACAAAUGAAGGAUUUUAAUAAUAUGAUAUAAUGUUUUGAUUUGAUUGGUAGUCUAGAAGAAUCCAAAUCAGCUAAAUUUUGAUCUGUAAGAUCAAUGGUUUCAGUUUGCAAAUUAUACAGUCUAUGAUAUACCUUUGCUUGCUAGCUAUUGUUCAUUUGGAUCCCGCUUGCAACGUCUUAUUGUUGCACACAUAUGCACUCAAACUUGCACCAUGCAUGCAUCAUAUGCAGACACACACACACAUACACACAGAAAACUAGCAGACAUAUGUGUAUGUCAGUACAUCCAUGACCUGCUAACACAUUGGCUCAUGCAUGCAAACACAAAUAGGCAAAUACAUAUACAUAUAAUUUCACCUAAGUUUAGAGGAUAGAACUUAAUUUUAUGAGAGAGACUCAUUAAUCAAUUAAAACAAUCCAAUACAUCCAUGACGACAUAGAAUGAAUAAAUUCAAACAGAAUCUUUUAUUAAAUAUAUAUUUAUAUUUUGGAGUUGUAUAUAUUAUUAUAUUUAGGCAUAAAAUUUAUAUUUACAUAUUAAGCUUGAUCAAGCCAAUUGCAUGUAAGCUGGAAAUCAUCAAGAAACCAACCCCGACUUUACAAUUCCCAUGAUGACCCUAACUAGAUUUCUCCACUAGACUUGAACCAUGGUAAACUUUUAUAAAAGGCAUUCUAAGAAUUUUGGGCUCUAAGGAAUAUAAAUUGGAAUUCCUGUUAUUGUGUGAGUAAUAGGAAUCCCACAACCUCCAAAAUCCAAAUUCAUACUAGUUUUCAGAUUGUAAUAGAACUUGAAAGCUUAUCUAGAUGAAGAAUGUAGUAUAGUUAACAUAUCUUAAAUAAUUUCAUAAGGAAGGCACGUUAGAACCUAAUCCACACUAAAAUCUUUUCCAAACUAAUCCUAUAUAUAUAUAAUCUUUAGCAACCAUGUGCACCUACAGGCUACAAGUGCAUUAUAACUAGUAUAAUUAUAAAUAGUAUUAACAAGGAUAAUUGAAUUUCUGAACUCACUCCAAGUGGAUGCACAAGUGUAAUACUAAACUUGAAAAUCAUGUUAUCAGGCGCACUACCAAUAUUAGCUUGUAAUAUUUGGAAGAAAAUGCCAAGACGACUUAGUACCAGCGAUUAAGAAAAUCUUUGCAUAUACUUUAAAACAACAAAGUAUAAUAGGAAUAUUGAAAUUUAC